Molecule: long non-coding RNA, 226 nt
Filed under: Elaeis guineensis (African oil palm)
Lineage: Eukaryota; Viridiplantae; Streptophyta; Magnoliopsida; Arecales; Arecaceae
Description: long non-coding RNA (EGUI_LNC039157)
Source: RNAcentral
GGGGAGGUGCUAAAGGAGGAUCGAUAUCCCAGCACCAAUGUCAGGACUGCAAAGAGCCAGAUGGAGCGGAGUGUGUAGGUGGAGCAAUGUUGUUCUGAGGAGAUCGUGUCAAGAUAUGCAGUGAGUGCCGAUGUAGGAAUGUUGCAGUUUCUCCAAAGAAGUCCAAGACAAUAGUUAAUGCGACUGUCGAGCAGAAGGGUGCCUAAACAUACUCCAGGGUGGUGCA